UACGUAGGGUGCAAGCGUUAAUCGGAAUUACUGGGCGUAAAGCGUGCGCAGGCGGUUUUGUAAGUCAGAUGUGAAAUCCCCGGGCUUAACCUGGGAACUGCGUUUGAAACUACAAGGCUAGAGUGUGGCAGAGGGGGGUGGAAUUCCACGUGUAGCAGGUGAAAUGCGUAGAGAUGUGGAGGAACACCGAUGGCGAAGGCAGCCCCUGGGUUAACACUGACGCUCAGGCACGAAAGCGUGGGGAGC
Molecule: ribosomal RNA, 246 nt
Filed under: uncultured bacterium
Lineage: Bacteria
Description: partial 16S ribosomal RNA
Rfam family: Bacterial small subunit ribosomal RNA
Source: RNAcentral